Molecule: ribosomal RNA, 394 nt
Filed under: uncultured bacterium
Lineage: Bacteria
Description: bacterial SSU rRNA
Rfam family: Bacterial small subunit ribosomal RNA
Source: RNAcentral
UAUUGGACAAUGGGGGUAACCCUUAUCCAGCGAAGCCGCGUGAGUGAAGAAGUAUUUCGGUAUGUAAAGCUCUAUCAGCAGGGAAGAAAGAAAUGACGGUACCUGACUAAGAAGCCCCGGCGAACUACGUGCCAGCAGCCGCGGUAAUACGGAUGGGGCAAGCGUUAUCCGGAUUUACUGGGUGUAAAGGGAGCGCAGGCGGCUUGGCAAGUCUGAUGUGAAAGGCUGGGGCUCAACCCCAGGACUGCAUUGGAAACUGUUAGGCUGGAGUGUCGGAGAGGUAAGCGGAAUUCCUAGUGUAGCGGUGAAAUGCGUAGAUAUUAGGAGGAACACCAGUGGCGAAGGCGGCUUACUGGACGACAACUGACGCUGAGGCUCGAAAGCGUGGGGAGCA